Molecule: small nucleolar RNA, 139 nt
Organism: Tachyglossus aculeatus (Australian echidna)
Lineage: Eukaryota; Metazoa; Chordata; Mammalia; Monotremata; Tachyglossidae
Source: RefSeq, a predicted model, not a curated record
CCCCUCUCAGAGUCGCACCUGUAGAGUUUCCAGUACUCUACCAGUCUUGACUACAGGAGGGAGAGUCAAGCAGAGGCAUAUCCAUUUCAUUCCUAGCUUGCGGCAGUGGCUAAUGAGUGGAAGACAAUCUGCUACAAGU